This 393-nucleotide long non-coding RNA is filed under the name Anser brachyrhynchus (Pink-footed goose). Its description in RNAcentral is "lncRNA (ENSABRG00000005893.1)". Lineage: Eukaryota; Metazoa; Chordata; Aves; Anseriformes; Anatidae. The record is from RNAcentral.
AGGGAAGGGAAGGGAAGGGAAGGGAAGGGAAGGGAAGGGAAGGGAAGGGAAGGGAAGGGGAAAUAAAAUUUACUUGAAAAUUCUUUGUUGUGCACCCAAUGUAGAAAAGUGACUCCUAAGCACUUUUGAUGAUGACUUUCAUCAUAGACAGCUGAAUUUCUGUCAAGGUUCUGAUACCACAUCAUUGCCAUGAACUCACUUGAUGUCAUAAGUCCUACUUGAGUAGCUACUCAUCAUAAAGUUCAAGACUGGUUCCCGAUGUUCAAAAGGACUUUGGCAUCUUCUAGUACUAGGAGGCACCUGUUCCUGCUUAGGACUCAGAACUCAUGUUCAUUCCUUGAGCUGUUUCUCUGAAGUUUUGACCUAUAGAAUUUUAUAACUAUUCAACUUUUA